This is a long non-coding RNA of Branchiostoma floridae (Florida lancelet), 319 nucleotides long. RefSeq lists it as uncharacterized. Lineage: Eukaryota; Metazoa; Chordata; Leptocardii; Amphioxiformes; Branchiostomatidae. The transcript is spliced from 3 exons. The record is from RefSeq and is a predicted model, not a curated record.
CUGAAACUGUUUGUAGAGGAGAAUUCUCAGGUGCCGUCCAUUUAUUGCAGUAGUGACGGCUAUGGGUUUUGAUAAACAUUAAUCAUCAAUAUUUAUUGAUUACAGUAAACAAGGUUGAAAGAGCGAAAGCUCGAGAGCAGUGGUGGUACUUCAUCCGGGGUAACUAUAACAUGGCAGUCGACACAUUCCUUCUGCUCAGUGGUUUGUUGGUGACGUACCUCUUCAUGAAGCAAAUGAAGAAGACGGGUGGACAGUUUACAUGGAGAGACUAUGGUCUACACGUCUUACACCGUUAUUUCAGGUUGACACCAGUGUUUGC